UAUUCUCACCUCAUGACCUAUACCGCCUUAUCAUGAGAUCAUCCAAGGAGAAUAUUCUUUUACUUAUAAUGGUGCAUCAUGAUAAAACCAUACUCAUCCUAACCCACCAUCCAAUUCUCCUCUUGAGACCACUUGCCAAGUGGCAUUUCUUCCAUUUUACUAUUGCUCUUCUCUUGCCAUAUAUCUAUAUCCAAACAUGCUCUCUCUAUCAUAUCUAAUCCU
This 222-nucleotide long non-coding RNA is filed under the name Phoenix dactylifera (date palm). RNAcentral describes it as "long non-coding RNA (PDAC_LNC007294)". Lineage: Eukaryota; Viridiplantae; Streptophyta; Magnoliopsida; Arecales; Arecaceae. The record is from RNAcentral.